AAGAGACGAGCAUAGGUUCCUCCCAAGAUGCCACCCGCUUCAUUCAAGUGUCUGGCAGCACUGUGUUCCUGUUAGAGCCACCAGCACAAGCACCAGACGAUGCUGAUCCAGGUGAAGGCCCCAGUGCAGCAGCAACAGCACAUGAUGGAGACGAUGAUGAGGAGACCAUCUCUCUGGAUUCCAGAAGGCAUGAGGACCCAGAUGCUAUACAGUGGGAAAACCAGCCUGGCAACAUAGUGCGUAUUAAUAAAAGGACACCACAUCCUGCCAAAUUCCAGCUGCGCUAAUUGUAUUGUGUUCACAGAGCUCACAAGCUAUCAGAAAGUUGUAUGGCAACCACCUCCGGCGCCAAAUAGAAAUGGCAGACAUAGACAUUCAGUACAAGAAGAAAAAAGAUGGAAAAUCUUGCACUGGAGUUCGAAAUAAAAAAGAGGACAAUUAGGAAACUGGACCUUGAAAUAAAAAAACUUGAGAGGGAGGUGAGAUAUGCCUUCAAUGUACACUG
Oncorhynchus tshawytscha (Chinook salmon) is the source of this 505-nucleotide long non-coding RNA. Lineage: Eukaryota; Metazoa; Chordata; Actinopteri; Salmoniformes; Salmonidae. The record is from Ensembl.